Molecule: ribosomal RNA, 254 nt
Filed under: uncultured bacterium
Lineage: Bacteria
Description: partial 16S ribosomal RNA
Rfam family: Bacterial small subunit ribosomal RNA
Source: RNAcentral
UACGAAGGGGGCUAGCGUUGCUCGGAAUCACUGGGCGUAAAGGGUGCGUAGGCGGGUCUUUAAGUCAGGGGUGAAAUCCUGGAGCUCAACUCCAGAACUGCCUUUGAUACUGAGGAUCUUGAGUACGGGAGAGGUGAGUGGAACUGCGAGUGUAGAGGUGAAAUUCGUAGAUAUUCGCAAGAACACCAGUGGCGAAGGCGGCUCACUGGCCCGGUACUGACGCUGAGGUGCGAAAGCGUGGGGAGCGAACGAGG